Molecule: ribosomal RNA, 223 nt
Filed under: uncultured bacterium
Lineage: Bacteria
Description: partial 16S ribosomal RNA
Rfam family: Bacterial small subunit ribosomal RNA
Source: RNAcentral
GAUCCUGGCUCAGGAUGAACGCUGGCGGCGUGCUUAACACAUGCAAGUCGAACGGAGUGCCUUUGAAAGAGGAUUCGUCCAAUUGAUAAGGUUACUUAGUGGCGGACGGGUGAGUAACGCGUGAGGAACCUGCCUUGGAGUGGGGAAUAACACAGUGAAAAUUGUGCUAAUACCGCAUAAUGCAGUUGGGCCGCAUGGCUCUGACUGCCAAAGAUUUAUCGCU